Molecule: non-coding RNA, 414 nt
Filed under: Erinaceus europaeus (western European hedgehog)
Lineage: Eukaryota; Metazoa; Chordata; Mammalia; Eulipotyphla; Erinaceidae
Description: Eukaryotic large subunit ribosomal RNA
Rfam family: Eukaryotic large subunit ribosomal RNA
Source: Rfam by way of RNAcentral
CCCGCUGAAUUUAAGCAUAUUAGUCAGCAGAGGAAAAGAAACUAACCAGGAUUCCCUCAGUAAAGAUGAGCCCAGCACUGAAUCCCCACCAUGUGGUGGGGAGUGGGAAAUGUGGAUUAUGGAAGACCUAAACUGCAGCGCUGCUCAUGGGGGGGCCAAGUCCUUCUGAUUGAGGCCCAGCCCAUGGAUGGUGUGAGGCUGGUAGGGGCCCCCAGCAUGCCAGGGCCCAGCUAUUCUCAGAGUUAGUUGCUUGCGAAUGCAGACCAAAGCGGAUGGUAAACUACAUCUAAGCUAAAUACCAGCACAGACUGAUAGUCAACAAGCACCAUAAGGGAAAGUUGAAAAGAACAUUGAAGAGGUAAACAGGUGGGGUCCCUGCAGUCCGCCCAAAGGAUUCAACCUGGCGAAGCAUGG